Molecule: long non-coding RNA, 6485 nt
Organism: Crotalus tigris (Tiger rattlesnake)
Lineage: Eukaryota; Metazoa; Chordata; Lepidosauria; Squamata; Viperidae
Exons: 3
Source: RefSeq, a predicted model, not a curated record
UCUGCCGCAAAACCUGCGGGGGGGGGUGAGGCUUUUGGAUCGCGCUUUGCUGUUGAAAUACGCGAAGUUCCGUCUACGAGACUGCUAGGAAAGGUCUUUCUGCCUUUUCAUCGGGCCUACCCAAGGGAUUGUUGCCAUUCCAGUCACAAAGUAAUUAAAUGGCGCUUUUUAUUGACAUAGGCCAGUUCUCAACAAUGGACAUAAUAACAGGAAUCAAGCAACAUUUUCUGAAAUUGUUCCCUUAAUACAGGGGUAUCAAACUGCCAGCCCGUGGGCCGGUUGCAUCAUGUGGAGGCUGCACCCACCCCAGCUCUGGCAAUGCGAAAAGUCAUGAUACGUCACAACACGGCACGUGACACGGCGAGUUUGACACCCAUGCUUUAAUAGUUCAGCCAUAAAUAAGGUUGAAGCUCCAGGAUAAAGGAUGGGAAUCUCAAAGUUAAGAGAAAUUUUAGAGGAAUCCAUUGGAACUGGAAUAAGGAUAGGUUUUCAACAAGAAUGUCCAUUAGUCACAGGCAGUAUGGAUGGCCAGUGAUAAAGGAUAUGUUUCAUAACAUCUACAAGACACAGGUUUGCUCACCUCAUUAUGAUCUCUUCAGUUCAACUUCAGAUUUUCUAAAUAUGUUGUUUUAAUGUCCUUAAUUUUAAAUAUAUUCUGUAUUUUUAAUACAAUUUAGACAUUGAUCUGCAGAAGUACAAAAAUCAGCAUCUAUAUUAAACAUUUGUCAAAGCAUUUCCCAUCCAGCCCUAGUAGGUUUCAAAAUAUAAAAACUAUUGAUAAACCAUAAAAAGGAGGAAGAAAAAGCUGAAGGUAAGAAACCACGUGAUAAGCACAUUUCCAAAUAGAGGGGGUGUAAGAUGGCUCUAUUUUGAGUCCCUUUCUCACAUUUUCCUCCUUUUCAGAACCAAAUAAUUUUUAACGAAACUUCCUAUUUACCAAUUAAUGCAUUCCUUCCCCAUUUCAAAGACCAUAUCUACAUUCUUGCAUAGAGUACAUCCUUACAACAUGAAAAACGCUCAUGAAACCAUACAAAUGAAUCAUCUUCUCUGCUGUGUCUGUUUCUUGACCAGGUCUGUCUCAAAGGCUGACAUGUUCUUUUCCAUGUGUCUAUAUAGCUCGCUAACUAGUUAUAUAUUAUAUUUAUAAUCUAUUCUGAAUAUCUACUCUUAAGAUGUUUAAAAAUAAACCAAUAAAGAAAGACUUCCAACCCCCACCCUAUACAUUCCAUUUACAGUAUUCGCUUUGACAGAGGCAGUCAUCCAAGGGCUGCCAGAUCUCAACAGCAAAAAUCUAGAGAAAACAAACUUUUCUCUCCAUCGCUUUCCUGCUGUCUAGUGAUUAUCUGGAUUUUGCAACCCAGAUCUGGUAAUCAUAUUUCUACUGUACAGUAUAACAUUAAAAUAAGAUAUGCUUUCUUGCUUCUGUUUCUAUCAGGGUUGAUAGAAUCACUGUGGAAUCACUGUUUUCUGUUUUAAAAUGUUAUGAGGGCAAAGAAGAGAGAUCAUUCUAUGAGAUAAUGUUUUAUAGAUUUUUAUCUAAAAGCCAUUCAUUUUUUAAAACACAAAUUGGAGAAUGACGACAAAAUAGAGAAUUACUUGUUUCAAUAUUUUUUCUGAACUUCCCUUACUGCUUUUUGCAUAUAGGAGUGAUGAUGAUGAUGAUGAUGAUGAUGAUGAUGAUGAUGAUGAUGACACAACAUAAGAAAUUUAGCUGAAAAUAUUUGUGUGGAAAAAUGAAACAAACAAUAAGAUUACACUAGAGCAUUGCUAAGAAAAUGUGUGCAUGGGGCAAAACACUAAUGGCACUUAAGAUACUGUACAUUCAAUGAUCCUUCAAAGCCAAUUAAGCAAUUGUGUCACCUGAGAAAUCUUUUACCACCCCUUUGACAAUAAAAAAUGGAGUAGUUCCUCUUUGAAUUAUUUCUGUUUAGACUAGGCCCCUUGAAAUCAAUAAGACUGACAUUUUCCAUAAUUAAGCCCAUAGUUUUCUGUCCAUCUCGACUGAUUUAAAACCAUAAGGCUUAAUUAUGUUUGCUUAAAAUAAUAACUUAAUUACCAAUACAGCUUUUUUAUAAUAUACCUACAGUACAGGAAUUUUCAGGAAUGGGAUAGGGGAGCAAGUGAUAGAAAGUGCACUGUCGUAUCAUGAUAUAGACCCCAUGAUAUACAUGCAUUUGACAUCAGAAGGCUUGUAUGAAAGGCUAGGGUUUGUGAUGUUACUAUAUGACAUUUAUUUUGUUAGUCUUUUUGUCACUGAAGCUUGUAAUGGGCUCCUAUGAAGAUCCCAGAAUUCUUGUAUGAGAUUAGUGUCUCACUUUGCCUAAGGACAGGCCGAGCAUGAAGUUUACAAAAAGCAUAGUAAGAAGUAAGAGAUAUUUUUGAUUUGGUGGUAAUAGAUUGAGUCCCUUAUGGCAGUGCCAUGACUGAAAAAAGGAGAAAAAGAAUCAAUUAUUUCUUAAUUGCGCUACCAUGAUAUAUUUCUCUUGGUUAAUAUAUUGAUAGUUUACUCAGUUCAGUUUUCUAGUUUUGGAGCACAUACUGCCAUAAUCAUCAAAAAAUCGCAAAGGCAAGGUUCACAGUACAUAUUAGGCUUAAGUAUAACUGACCCGUGUACACAUUAGUCAUGUAACUAAGCAUUUGUCUGCAGUGAACUACUAAAGGAACUACUAAAUAUAUUUUUCACAUACGUGCAUUUGAUUCCAUUUCUAUUUCUAGCAAUAAAAUUUGAUAGGAGUAAAAGUAUAUACAUGCAGAGACAAAUCAAACUUUCUGCUGUCGUACGAACUGAAGCAUUUCCUCAUUUGAUCACAGAGAAUUCUGAGAGCAAUUUCAAUUGCACUGCCUGUGGUGGUGGACUUAGGUGAGGAAUUUUGAUGCUCAAUUUGUCACUUUUGCCUGAAUUUGACAGAAUGACUUUGAACUAAUCAUCACUGUCUAUGUCAGCCUAUCUUACUGAGUUUGUUGAAUAUGUAACAAAUUCCAUUUUAUGUAUGAGUAACUUAGCCGCAGUUCAAUGCUAAAGCAAGCAAGCUAUCCCUCUAUCUUCAGACUGAAGAGUUUAUCAUGUUAUUCUUGUUAGUUAUUAGAUAUUUAUCCCAUAUUUAUUAUUUUAUAAGAAACUCAAGGCAGCAAACAUACAUAAUAUUCCUUCCUCCUCCUAUUUUCCCCACAACCUUGUGAAGUGGGUUGGGCUGAGAAAGUGUGACUGGCCCAACUUGUUUUUUAGACAAUUGUCACCCUGGAAAACAGUUAACUUUAAUUAAGGGGGAGGGGUUGGUGCUUCUUCUCAGGGUUAUACAGAUACUCCUCAUCAAAAGCAUUGGGUUUCAAAAGAACCUAGCAAUUCUUCAAUAGUUUGUUGAGUGACAUCUAACCUAAGGAGUCCAUCAUCAGACACUAUAAAGUUUUGAUUACUUUAUAAUAUUUUUCUGUGAGGUCUUCUUGGUAAACUACAGAAGUGGUUUACCAUUGCCUUCUUCAGUGCAGUAUAAAACGAUGCCUUUGCCAUUGUCACAAAAAUGCUCACUUGUCUCCAGCAUUUUCCUAUACUGCUACUGGCCUGAUACAGAUCCCUGUAUGCUUUAUCUGGGCAGCUGUGGUGACCUUGGGUGAUCUUGCUGGGAAUAUAUAUUCUUGGCAUACACUUCUGGUGUUCUUUGCUUAUCUUACACCAGGAAAAUAACCAUCCCAUCCCUGCCAUGAUAAGGAAGCAUAGGAUUUGAAGUGUGCAGGUAGUCCUCAGCUUACAACUAUUCAUUUAGUGAUUGUUCAAAGUUACAAUGACACUGAAAAAACUACUUAUGACUACUUUGCACUUACAACUGUUGCAGCAUUCCCAUGGCCACAUGAUCAAAAUUUGGGUGUUUGGCAAUUGGCAUGGGUUUUUGAUAGUGGCAACACCCUGGGGUCAUAUGAUUGCCAUUUACAAUCUUCCCAACUGGCUUCUGACAAGGAAUGUCAAUAGUGGAAGCCAGAUUCACUUAAUAACCUCUUGGCUCAUUUAACAAUUGCAGUGAUUUGCUUAACCAUCAGAAAAAAGAUCAUUAAAUCAGGCACAAUUACUUAACAAACACCUUGCUUAGCAGCAGACAUUCUGGUUCCAGUUGUGGUGGUAAGUUGAGGAGUAUCUGUAUGUAUAUAUGUAAUGUAGUAUAAUGUAAUAUAUAUUCUGUUAUAUUAAUAUAUGAUCUGCAUUGAAAAUUCAGAUGAUUACAAGAUGACUAUGGAGAGAUAAAGUCUCUUAAUGCCAUUUAGCCAUCAUCCAGAUUUUUAUAGUUGCCUCCCCAUCCAUCAUAUAUUUUAAGCAUGACUUUCAAUAGUUUUACACCAUAAUUUUACACCAUAAGGGAAGCAAAUUAAUAAUGGAUCCAAUACAUACAAUACCAUUGAAAAUAAGAAAGACAUUAUUUAUUAGUCUGGAAAAUAUGUAGCCGAAUAACAAUUUGAGAACUGAAAUCUAUUAUUUAAUUUCUGAAACCAAUAAAGAUUUAUAAGAAAAGACUGAAAUUUCUUUAAUAUAUUUAUUUUGGUUGAAAAGGUUUUUCAAAAUAGAUUAAUCACUGAAAUGUUACUGACAAGAAUGCCUAUCUCACCUCUAUAUUUCCCAUUACAUCGUUUUAUUCAAAAUAGCUUCUUUGCUUGUUGAUUUUAAAUUAAAUCAGUAAAUGAUUCAAUUAAGAUGCAACACUAUUCACUGUCAAUACAAAAUGACUCACAGGAGUUUGUGUGGAAGACUAGCUGUGGCUGGAAUUUAAUUGUGACAUGCAUGACCUGCUCAGUUGCAUUCUUAAUACAAAAUUGUCAACCUGAAAUCUCACAGCUUUUGCUUCUGCCAAGCUUGGUAGCUUUUCAAUUGCAUUUUUAAUUAAACAUUUCUUUCUUUCCAGCUGUUUCAAUAAAAGGCAUUAAAGGAAAUAUUGCAAUUAGAGUGUCAGGUUAUCCUUGAAAGCAACAUAGGGACUAACAUUAAGUUACACAAUAGCUAAUCAGUUUCCUGUGGCUGAAAACAGCAAUAAGCAAGUUGUGGAAGUCUUACAUAUAGCUAGUAGGUAGCUCACAUGGUCCAGCAUGUAAUUGCACUCAGUGUUGGUUGCUUUUUAUCAUUUAUUUAAAAAAAAAAGCACAGAAACUAGAUCUGACAUGAACCCAUAAAUUUACUAUCUCACAUGGUGAUCCAUUAUGUUGGUGAUUGAUUCUUGAAAGACAGCUUCCGGUCAGGUUAGAAAAAACAACAAAUUGUUAGAACAAUGGAUUAUGGAUUAGAGCAAUGGAUGCACCAGUCUUAACUUAAUCUAAGUAGAAAACAGGUGUUAAUAAUACAUAUUCUUUGAGGUAAGGAACACUGAAAAUAUGAGAUGAGAAUUUGAUGCUAGCCAAUAAAACAAGAUUUAUGACUUUGUGCCAUCCAGUUGUGAUAAACUACAAAUCCCAUCAAUCAAAUCUUACCCAAACAUAAUUUGUUAUUCAGCACAUCUACAAAGCAACCAAUUGGUUAAUGGUGUAGUAAAGUUUGGCUAAUAGUACACUAUAUAAUUAAACUCAAGCUCAAUUCUCAGCUAUAGUAUAGGGCAUAUAUAACACUAGUUAAAUGUGUUUUAAGCUAGGGUUAGAGAAAUUCAUAUAUAUAUAACAUUUAUCUUAAUAGUGAAACAGGACGUAUAUCUUUAAAACUUGCUUAUUUCUGAAAAUCCAGGUUUUGGGAAACUAACAGUUGCAGUGGUAGACUAUCCCUUCCCAUGUGACUUGUGGAUUUGGCUGGCAUUAAAUUGACCUUUAAGAUUUGUUAGGCAUUAGUGGUAUUCCUUUCCUAAAUUGAAACCAAGAAGAAUUUAAAUGAAAUCAUUCUGUAGAAAAGAGUCAUCUUAAGCGAUUAAAGCGAAAUUGCUAUAAGUCACAUUUUUUUGGUUAUUUAAAGCAACUGAUGUAAAUAGGGAACAUAAGCCAUCAGACAUUUUUCUUAGUCAUUAUAAUAUCCCUUUAUUUUAGUAAGGCUUCAAUAGUAUUUGUGAACAAUUUUGCACAAUGUGUAGAAAUUGUGUAAUAGGUAAAUGUAACUAACUGGAUUUAUGUAAGAUUGAUCUCAUUGCUACACUUUGUUUCCAAAGAAAAAUGUAUCAGACAUUAAUUUACAUUCUAUUUAGCAUUGUCAUUUAUAAUACAUGAAUCAUAUCCAAUGAACCAAAAGUCUGCAGUUUGCCAGUUGUGACAAAAAUUCUUGAUUGAAAUUAUAAUGGCUUAUCUUUCGCUGAACAAAUAUUCUUUUUAAAGUAAAAUAUGGCCAUUAAUAAAAUAGAUUUCCUAUUUGUAGUUAAAAAAAUCCUGAUUUUUACUCAAUGCACAACCCAAUUAAAUUAAAAAGCUUGGACCUUUGCCAAACUAAUCACAUUGUCUUCAAUUGAGUUUAAUCAAAUCUGAGAACUUUCCUUAUGGCUUAGGCUGAAAAUGCAGUAAUAAGAAUUACUUCAAGAUUAGCAAAAAAAAAAAAA